Molecule: non-coding RNA, 3633 nt
Organism: Phalacrocorax carbo (great cormorant)
Lineage: Eukaryota; Metazoa; Chordata; Aves; Suliformes; Phalacrocoracidae
Source: RefSeq, a predicted model, not a curated record
CCCGGCCCCGCGCCGCGGAGGCGGCCUGCCUUACCCACAAGGCCCCGCUGCCAGCGGCGGCGCAUAGCUCGGCGCUCACUCACCGCCUAACUAUAAACCUGAGCUCAGCGCCCUGCGGCUCGGAGGGGGGGCCGGGGCCAGGAGUACCAAGGUGACCUCCCGGCUUCCAGAGGACAUGCAGUGAAGACUGAGAGCAUCCAUAAGCCCCGGGGCAGCAUCUUCCAAGACAGCAGAGAGCUUUCCGGUGCUCUCUUCAGAGAGGGUGCUCUCCUGGGGCACCUGGGAGGUCCUGGCACCCACCGCAAUUGCUUCAUGAGGCACAGCAAGAAGUCCAAGGACUGCCUUUGUUGGUGCUGGGGUUCCUGGGACAAGCAUCCUGUGGAGGGCCCUGGGGAAGCUUGUACACUCCUAGGAGUCACUGCAGAGCAGAACUGACUGUAGUUUGCGAGGGAGAUCAAGGCAGUCGCCCCCUCUUUGCAAAUGGGCACAGCAUGGAGGAAUGAUAUGCUCAGGGGCAGCAAGCUGCCUGAGGGCAGGGUGAUGUGGUGUUGAAAGGAUAUAUGGGUUUACAUGUAAGUAAAACUGUCCUUAGAGGACAGCCCACACUGAGAUUCUCUCUGUAUGGGAACAGAAACCCUAGAUCUCAUCCUUCUGAUAAUCAGAGUUCUGCAUCUCAGUAAUUCAUCUGUACUACCAGCGUUACCAUUGCGAAUCCGUUAUUGCUUUUAAAUCGAGAAUUACCUAUACAAAAUAUGGAAGUGUAACAAUUCAGCUCCAGGUAUAAUUAAUUCAGCUUACUCUUGCCCAUUUCAAAGCAGCCUUUUGCUGCCAAUAAAGCACAUGGCUGAAUGACUAUUUCUAGUUGAACCUCACUUUUGCUAAACUGAUCAGAAGCAAUUAAUUGAAUGAACAGACACCAUCCUGAUGAGGUUUUGAUUCCAAAGGUGAUAAAAAACUUUUUAGUGGUGUUUGGGAGAUUCUUUUUUCCCCUUACAGCCGUAUCAUUUUCUUUCCAACUGAUAAAUGCCGUUUUGAAGAAUUCCCUCUUUACCCCCCAAAAAUAGCUCCCUCUUGUCAAUUUAAGAAAUGAUUCAUUGGCAUAAAGCUAGCAGAGGGAGCAUAAAUGCCUGGGAAGUUUUCAGACAACAUCUAUAUAAACAAUUAUUGUUGUCUUGUUUUCAUUUCUAGGCAACAGAUCCUCAGAGACAUACACAGCACACAGACAAUAUCUGGAGAGCCUUCCAACCCCUUUUCUCCAGAUUGCAAGUCUAUAUUUUCUCCAUGUAUAAAGCAACAGAACUUAAUGAUUGGGAAUAAAAGAUAUUUUCAUUUGGAAGAUACUUGUUUUUAAAACUCUAAGGAGUGAUCCUCUAAUGUCACAAAUUUAACUCCUUUUUGAAAAGAAGUAAGAUUCCUGCGCUUCAAUCUGCAGUAGGUUUUUAAUACAGUCUAGAGUCUUUCAGACUGGGUGAAAGAUGUAGUUAAUCAAUAAAUACACAGCAAUCCAUAUUUUCCUUUUGUGCUAUUCAGUGGCCCAGUGCUGUCAGUGGUUUUGAUACUUUCCAAGCAAAUCAAACCCACUGAUCUGUGCAUGGAGCCUGCCAACUUAUGCAUCAGCUUUGGCAACUGGAAGGCCAGCAUUUGUAUUUAUCCCUUUAUUCAGCUCUCCAAGGAAAAUCUGCAGUUAAGACUUGUUUGAUCUCAAAAGGAAGGCACUGCUAAUGUUUUCACAGUGUUUUGCUUUUAAUUUCAAACCUCUAAUCACAGGAAGAAUUGAUCCUGCAGUUGUUGAGGCAAAUCUCUCCAUCUCCCUCAUGAAUAUUCUUCCAGGAUGGGAUCAUUUUGCAUCGUUUCGAAGGUGUUUGUUUUCUUUUCAGCUGAAUAAGGGCAGAAAUUAUAAUCUCCGAUAGCUUCUCACGAGUUUGAAGGCCUUGCACACAUCGCUGGGCAGUUAAGGUUGAAUCUGUCUCUAACACCAGGAGGAUUUUUGCAUGAGAAAUUGUUUCUUACACAAAACUACAGUAUUACUGGCACUGGUGAUGAGAACAUUGCUUGGUAAAAAGGUUCUUUGACGAUUUGUGGGGAGUAGCAUUAUCAGGUAAAUCACAGUUCUCUGCUCCUGACUACAAAUUCUGUGCUACCUGCUUUAGUCUAAGGGCUGGAGGCGGCGUGCAGAUAUUGUCCUGUCUUCAUAGGUGUUUUAGGGAUCAUGAAGAGACCACAACUAACUUCUGGGAAGCUUGGUUUGAUCCUGGAGUGCCCAGCUAACAGCAGAGUGUCUGGUGUUACUCAGAGUACUUUCAAAACUGCUGUAUGGUCAGGAAGAAAUGGUCUAAAUGUUCGUAAGUCUCACCAGGGGAAAAUGGGAGUUCAUUUGUUCAUUCAUUCUACAUACAAUUUAUUUUCUGGACACUUCUGAACAAGGGCUCAGGCAGAGCACAACCUAGUGGACGAGAUUGUCAGAAGACAGUCUCAUCACAGUUUGCAGAAAGCAGGUCUUACCAGUAACAGUGUUAGAGAUACUGUGUCUCCUCCUUUUCAAAAUCACAUUAACGCCUUCACUCGUUCCAGACACCAUGCUAAAAUUUUAUCACUUGCAAUAUUUAGCAGGGUAUGUUUCAUACAGGUACCCGUGUUCAAGAACUUUUUGCAUGCUUGUGAAGAAAAUAAAAGGGGUAGGUAAUUGUGUACAAACCGCUGCAAAUAAUGAGGGAAAUUCUCCCUUUCCUGAUGUUUCCAGAUCCAGAAUUCUUCUGCUGGAAUCCCAGCUGUCUCACAGUAUUUUGGUCAUGCUAAAUCCCAGCCAGAAAUCUCGAUCUUUAGGGAAGUCUGUAUCUACCUUCAACCUUUACUGUUAAUGACUAGUAUCAACAUCACGCCGGUUGACCUUGUUUUUCGCUUCAAGUCUGCAGGUACUUGCUUCUUACCUUGCUCUUAAAGGCCUGGGCCCAUCCCUAGUUUACAAUCCCCCUUAAAACUUUAUUAUCCAAAUAAAUUCUGAAAUGUUUUUACUGGACUUUGAACUUUUCUUCUGACAAGUAACUUCUAUUUUCACAUUUGGAAAUGAACUCUUGAGGUCAGUUUGUGCACAUGAAUGUUAUCCUAGAUCUAGGAGCCAGCAAGCCUCUUAAGAACUGGUGUGCCUUGUAAUUAAAAUAUAUAUAAAAACAGGUUUUCCAUUUCUGAGCUUGCUGAACCUUUAUAUCUGAUCUGACACCUUCCUAAUCUGCAAGAAAAUCAAUUUUUGUUUCAUUUUUCAUGACACGCACUUCGGCUGUAUGUUAGAGAAGCAAGAACUACUGCUGUAACCUGCUUGUGACAUUUUUAUGGAUAUAGAUUGGGCGGGGGGGGGGGAGGAAGAGUUCCUUAGAAAAUGACAGCUGUACCACCAAAAUUGCUUCUCUGUCUGGAAAAGAAUAUUGCAUUACUUAAAAGCAGAUCUGUGCGGGAUUUGCAUUAGAAUCUACAAAAGACCAAAAGCAAAACUGUUCCAGCAACUUGAAUAGCUUCUUGCAGAUUUUUAGAUUCCUGAAGUUUUUAUUUGAAGUGCUAAUGCUAUGUUUUCCUUUUGAAGAAGGAUGCUAUGAAAUGUUAGAGGCCUAAUAAAAGUCAAUAAAAGACUAACAAAUGUCC